Molecule: small RNA, 531 nt
Filed under: Pan troglodytes (chimpanzee)
Lineage: Eukaryota; Metazoa; Chordata; Mammalia; Primates; Hominidae
Description: retained intron
Source: RNAcentral
GGCACCAGGAGCCCACCCGGCGCCGGGCGGGCGGGUCCAUUUUGCCGCACAAGCCGGGCUAUUGGCAAACUGCGGAUGGGCAGGUCCACCUUCCUUCGGGGGUGAGCGGCCUGAGAUCCAGAGACAAUGGCCCCGAUGGGAUGGAGCCCGAAGGCGUCAUCGAGAGUAACUGGAAUGAGAUUGUUGACAGCUUUGAUGACAUGAACCUCUCGGAGUCCCUUCUCCGUGGUAUCUACGCCUAUGGUUUUGAGAAGCCCUCUGCCAUCCAGCAGCGAGCCAUUCUACCUUGUAUCAAGGGUUAUGAUGUGAUUGCUCAAGCCCAAUCUGGGACUGGGAAAACGGCCACAUUUGCCAUAUCGAUUCUGCAGCAGAUUGAAUUAGAUCUAAAAGCCACCCAGGCCUUGGUCCUAGCACCCACUCGAGAAUUGGCUCAGCAGGUAAGAGUGGCUUCUAUUCCCUCCUUCAGGGCUGAUUUAGGGAUGAUGAGUAUAAUCCAAGGACCAGAGAAGUCUUCUCUGAUCACCACCUUGG